Heterocephalus glaber (naked mole-rat) is the source of this 9267-nucleotide non-coding RNA. The record is from RefSeq and is a predicted model, not a curated record. NCBI's taxonomy places the organism in Eukaryota, Metazoa, Chordata, Mammalia, Rodentia, Bathyergidae.
UCACUGGAGGAUUGAGGUUUGGAGAUGGGAGUGGUUGACAACAUAAGCUGGCUUCAGGCAGGGCUGGAUCCAGAUCCCAACUCUACCCCUUAAUACCUGUGAGAACAAGACUGAGGUACUUACUCACUCUAAGCCUCUUUUCUCAUUAAUAAAAUAGCAAUGAUAAUACUUCCUGGGCUAUUUGAGCAUUAAAUGAGGUCAGUACUUAAAAUUCCUGAUACAGAGUCAACCUCUAAACCUCAGCUACAGCUAUUGCAAUUGUCACCUGGGUCUUACAGAGUUUACCUCUGAAUUUUUUCUUCCAGAAAUGAUGGGCUAGGUAAUUCAGAUUAACACUCUACUGAAGGCAGCUUAAGAAAUGAAGAGAAGAAAGAGAAGAUUUUUUUUUUUUGGUGGUAGAUACUAAGGAUUGAACCCAGGACCUUUGAAUUGAGCUACAUCUCCAACCCUUUUUUUUAUUUUGAGACAGGACUUGGUUUUUCACUAAGUUGAUCAAGCUGAGCUCAAACUUGCAAUGCUUCUCCCUCAGGAUUCCAGUGUGCUGAGAUUACAGCACCCUGCUUGAAUGAUCUUUUUUUUGUUUUUUGUUUUGUACCGGAGAUCGAACUCAGGUCUUUGCGCUUGCGAGGCAGGCAGUGGAACCAAUGAGCUAAAUCCCCAGCCCACUGAAUGAUCUUUUUAAUAGCACCAGAGUUAAAGGAUAGUAAAGAAUUACUAGCUCAAAAUUUGGAAGAGAAGUAAGGAAUUCUGCUUUCCUCUAGGAAUAUCAGCUGAUCUGAAAUAGGUGUCUGAAACUUUAUGCUGUGGGGUUUUUAUAGCUUCUUUGGGUUUAGUGGUGCCCUGGACUUCACGAAUCACCAAGGGAAUGGCUGCAUCCUAAAGUAAAGAUUCCAUGGAAGCAAACCCACCCUUGCAUAGGCUGUGGCCAGGCUUUAAGUUGCCAGGCUUUAAGUUGCCAGGCUUGUCCACAAAAUCUACAAGCAUGAAAUUAGGUUUAUGUGUGCCUGUGAGGCUGAUGGAAGGAAACAAACUCCUCUCUGAGGAUACAGAACCUCUUAUUAUUUCUACAGAAUUUUAAAGAUGACAAUGUCCAAUGCAUAAUCAAAGAGAAUGAGGAAUAUAGGAGACAAGUCAAUUCUUGCUUGAUUUCUGAUAGGAUAAGAAAGUUGUCUGGGUCUUAAUACUCACAGAUCUCAAGGCUGUUUGCUUUCAUAAUGUUUCAUGAUGAAACCAUGGUAGAAAACAAAAAUUUAAUCACUGUCAAUUUAAAUUAGAUAGAAACGGACCUCCGCAAAUCCACAAAGUGUUAAAGUGAGGUCUGCGAGACACUGGGAAUUUUUGAAUCAAAGCAAUAAAUAACAGGAAACUUUAGUCCUUGAUAACCAUCAGUAGAUUUACUUGGAUUGUUAUUUUAUGCUGAUCACACUAGCAUUGCCAUUAUUACCACUGCAGUGCAAGACUCUCCAAUGGGAAACCCCAGGGAAAAUGUGCUUUUAUAUAACUGAGGGAUGAGGACAAUUAUCUAAGAGAAAAAUGGUGAGGCCCCAAGCUCAGGACCCAGUAGUGGAAUUCUCAUCAGAUGAAGCCUUUUCAGUGGAAGGCCACAAGCUGCUGUAUGUAAGAGGGUCUCUCCAAGAAGCAGGGUCAUGCACCCAUCACUUUGGCUUCUUCCUUUUCUUUUUUGGUACUGGGGAUCGAAUUCGGUACCUUGUGCUUUCGAGGCAGGUUGCCGAACCACUGAGCUAAAUCCCCGGCCCACCCAUCACUUUGGAAUGUGUGGAAGCAAAGCUCUUUUUCUCAAAACAAUUUCUGCUUAGGUCUCAGCAAGUUCCCUUAGGUGGAUCUUUCCUGGGGUAGCCACUUUACCUCACCAGCGCAGAGCUGAGGUAGGAGGUCAAGGCGUGGCGAGCUGAGAGGGCAAGUGGGCAUGACCUGUCAGUCACAGAAACCAGGACAUGCGCCAAGCCCUGCUCCUGGUACCAAUCAGAGAAGGGCUACCUUCAGUUCUUCUGGCAUAAUAUCAAGGAGGUUUUUGAUAGGAGAGCCCAGACCUGACGUAAAAAUGGAGGAUACAAAAGACAGCUGCCAUUAACCUCAUGGCCAAUAAGUCCUUUCAGUAUGUCACUCUGCACUCUGCAGAGUGUACUUCUUUUCCUACAUUCAAUUGGCCAACACUCACUCUGCAGAACUUCUUUCUCUACCUUUAAUAAAUGUAAAACCUCACUACCUUUUUAGAGGUUUCUUGCCCAAUUCUUCCUUUAGGACAGCAAGACUUGGAAAGGAUCCCUGGGGAAAGCAUAGCACCCCAGACCCUGGUAACAGACCUGGCUGGGUGCGGGGACUGUGGCAGGGCAGCAGGCACCCAGGUCAUGAGGUUAGGAGACUUCAGCUUCUCAGGUGCUCGCUGCCAGCUUAAUGGAGCACUGAGGGAAACAGGAAGGGGGCAGCCUUCUGCCAGCCACAAAGAUAGAUGCUCCUGCCUCAAGAAUGCCCAGGUCUGCCAUGUUUCACUGCUUCCUUCUGAUGCAAGGGUGCAUCCACUUAUCACAGCCUCUCCUCUCUCCAACACUCUUCUGUUUUGCCCCUUCUCUGCACAUGCUGCCAGCAGCCAUGAGAAAGGAAGACAAAGCAAUGGAAAAUGCUGGUCUCAUACAAGUGGAGCUGAAUACCAGAGGUUACCCGAGGCUGGGAAGCAGGAGUGGCAGAGGUGGAGAGAGGAUGGUUAAUGGUAUCCGGGGUGCAGUUGGAUGGGAAGAAUAAUUUUAAUGUUCUAUAUAGCACAGUAGGAGAACUAUGGCUGAUGAUAAGGAAUUAUAUUUUUCAAAAUGGCUAGCAGGGAGGAUUUCAAAUGUUCCCAACAUGAAGAAGUGAUAAAUGUUCACACUGAUGGAUGGAUGUGCCAAUUACCCUGAUACGAUAAAUACACAUUGUAUAUAAGUACUGAAAUACCACACCACAUCCAUAAAUAUGUACAAUUAUUAUAUGUUACUUUAAAUGUAUAUGCUUAAAAAAGAGGACAAAAACCUCUACUCCUCAAAAAGAAGAGCUGGGUAGAGAGGAUGAGAAACACUCAGGGUAUGGAAGGACACAAGCACUGGUCAUGUUCUCAUGUUAUAUUUCUAUUCAGAAUUCUGAUUCAUCCAUUCAUCUAUCUUUGUGUUUAUAGAAAUGACAAAAAAAAAUCACAAACUUUUUUUAUAGCUUUAACAAAAUUUUUAAAAACAAUAGAGAAUCCUCAAAAGGGCUUUCUUCCAAAGAAUGAUGACACACCAAAAUUAUAACAGUGACAAUCAAAACUUUUGUAACUGUUCUGUUUUGUAGCUCAGCUCUGGGACCUGUGAUUCUCUGUGUCCAAGUCUGCAGUAUCCCAAGCAGCAACUGCGAUGGCCCAGGCUGCAGUCCUUUGUCCUCCUGAUGGCUGAGCAGCGGAGCUCACCCACAGCCUGGGCAGAGCAGGAAUGUGUGUCACGGGGCUCUGGUGACCACCCUAGGACCUGGGAGACACCAGCAGCCCAGGUGGUGCUCAGGAAAUACACUGGGUAAUUGGUGAGAAGUUAAAAAGUGCCCCUGUACCAUGCCGGUGACAGCACCCAUUUGUAAUCCUGCCAUUAAAGGACCUGAGGCUGUCUGAAUCCACAAGUGUGCUUCACGGAUUAGCAGUCAUCUAUUUGCUUUUUCUUGGCAUACAUAGAAAAUAAAAUUAGACUGCUUCCAGCCUAUCUGUACACCCUAUCCCCAGCUCUUGGAUUUAUUCAUAAUAUUUCUCUGGGUUUUAUGCAUUAACAAGAAAGAUUUUCCAAAGUGCUUAUUAGAAAGAACUUAUUUCACUUAAAUGCCCUUAAAAAGUAUUAACAGAUCACCGCAGUAUUUAUAACAACCUCUUUGUCUUAAAUGAACUAGUUGACCCCUUCCCUUUAAAGAAAAUCCUAGGAAAAGAUUGCCCACCCAUUAGGACUGGGGUCAGAAACUGCAAAGUUACAGAGGUUUGUCUGUUUAAAAUCCAACAUGACUACUUGCUUUUCUAUGAGUGGAGGAAAAGCCACAUGUUGCCUACCCUGGGUUUAUUAAUUCUCUAUAAAUUCCUUCUGCCCAGCUUGGGUGUAGAAGUGAGCUCAUUUAUUUACUUGCAUAGCAACAAUAUAAUGAAAACUGACUCUGGCCUAAAAAAUACGCCCUCCCGAGCCACCUCCAGGGCUAACCCUUCGCAGUGCUUCUCUGUGCUCAUGGAGUGUUCUUUUAACCUGUCUAGUUUUGAGAGGUGAUUUACUUUCUUUCAAAGACAUUUUGAUGCCCGAUUUUAUGCUAGCAUUAAGCCUUUUCGAGCCACGUCGAGCGAGAUCAUAGCCAGCCUCUUUCCCUAGAUGAAGAAAAAGUCACAAGUGAAAGCUCAGAAGGGGGACAGGGCUCUUGAGUCACCUUCCUUUGACACAGCAUUGUGCAGGCAACCGGUCCGUGCAAACAGUGACCUGAUUGUGGAGCCCCUUGUGUGAUCCCCACUGCUUUCAGGAGGCUCUUUGUGUAGCGAGUGCUGAAGCAAUAUUUAGUUAUGGAGUGACCAAGACCCAAAGAGCAGCAAGAGGCACUGAAUGUGAAAGAACGUGAUGGGAAAUGACAUCUGGGUCCCUCAAGGGGCUGAAGUUUUUCUCAGGAAGGGCAGAGCUGAAUUCAGCCCCUGACGGCUGGGUACAGAAAAGCCAUUUUUUAUAUUCCAGGGGACUGCAAUGUUCCUUUUGAUGAAAACGAGAAAAGCAUAAGCGUUUGGGGUCUUUUGAUGUCCAAGUAAAUUCAAUGUGCACUAAAUCUAGAUUCUGAAAUGGAUUUGAAGAAGAUGCCCUACAGAUCACAGCACUGUGGAAAAGAGCUAAGAGACGAGAAUCUGGGGACCCAAAGGCUGAUUGGUAUGGUUUCCUCCCAAACAGAAGAUUUCUCACAGCUUAGUUGGGAGAAAAGAUGCAGUGGCUGACAGGAGACAGUGCCAGCUCUGAAGGCGGCUGUCGUGCCUGGAGACAGCAGUCCCACAAAGGGCCUCUGUCCGAGCCAGGAGAUUAGACAGGGAAAUGGCAGAAGCACUGAGCUCCAGGGUAAGUGCUUUCUUAGCCCUUGACAGCAGAGCAGGGAAGAGUCCUUCCUGAGGUGCUCUCUGCAAGUUUUCUGGGUACAGGACCAGACUAGGAAAGAAUCAGUAGAAUAUCUGGCUAGCAAAGCCUGUUAGGGAGAAUCCAGCUUCCCUUUGCCAUUUCACAGCAGAGAGACCUAAAGUGCAAGGAGGUUACAAAGCACUGGGAGGCUGCUCAGCCUGUUAGCAGGAGAGCUGAGCAGGGACUCAGGUUAGCUGGCCCCGCUGCCGAGGAUCCUUCCUCUGUGUCCUGUCACCUACACUACCAUCACACGUUAGACAUUUACUAGAAGAAACUCACUACUUUUUAGAUGUUACAAGUAAAUACUUCCAAAGAAAAGUUACUUCCCUACAUGAGAAGCACAACUUGAAAGCUGGGCAUCUUAUGUUUUGGGGGUCACUGCUCCACCAGCCAAUCCAUUCUGGGGGAUUGAACUACAUCUGAUUUAAUGAAGUCAUCCAUUUGGAGCAAUUUGAAGGCAUUUGAAAGAUGGUAUUUCCACACAGCAGAGGAAGCUAACGUAGCAAUGUUCUCAGUGGUACCCCAGUCUCCACACUCCCCAGAUGACCUACUCAGGACUUCUGGACCAGCCUGGCCUGAAGCUGACUCCCCAGAGGUGCAUGGCCAGAAGUCCCGUAUUUCUUAACUCCAACUCCUUCAGCAUUUUGGCUACUCCCUGGAUCUCAGGUGGGCACCUUCUGCAGUGACUCAUUCUUCUGGCCAACGGGAUGCUUUUAAGAGGCCCAGACUCUGGGGAGCUGGAUUGCGCAUGUCUCAGUGAGCCCUCUUAGGGCUUGGCAGCAUCAGCCAUGAGCUAGGGUGUAGAAAUCACUAGUGUUGGGGUUAGACAGGUGUGGGCUCCAGUACCAAUGUGGCUCUAGCUAGAGGCAGAAGGUUAACUUCAGCAGGUUAACUUGCUUCUCAGAUGCUUCCUCUGUACCUUGUGAGGGUCAAAUGAGAUCAUGCACAUAAUAUCCCCAGCAUGGAGAAAAGGCUGGGAGGCAUUUUAAGGUCACCCCUCUACUCUAGAUCUAAAGUGAUCUUGCAGAAUGAAGUGGAAACAAUGAAUAACUUAGCACUGCCAAAGGUCACACAGUCAAUUGCCAGUAAAAUUGUGAACAAAAGCUAUUCUAAGAAAUGGCUGGUUUAAUCAUGCCACACUUAAGAAAACCAAAUAUUAUGCAGGUGCUGUGGCACAUGCCUAUAAUCCUCAGAGCAGAGGCUGAAGCAGGAGGGUCACAAGUUCAAGGCCAGCCUGGUUAGCCCCUGUGUCAAAUAAAAAAUAAAAGGCUACUGUGGUAGCUCAGUGGUAAAGUGCCCCUUGGUUAGAUCCCCAGUACUGAGAAAGGAAGAAAGUCAAAUAUAAAAAUUAUUCCUAUAAAUCAAAUGUAAUUAGGGCAUUGCUAAAGGCUUCUUUGUGUCACAAAAGGAGUGUGGCGUGGCGUCUCUCUCAAGAGUGGACGCCUUGGGUCUCCCCAAAUGUUGAGCCUCAUCUGACUUUUAAAUUAAAGCAGACCCACUGUUCUGUGCCUGUCACACCUGUACCUCUCACACAGGCUCAGACACCUCUCCAGGCGCUAUCUUGACAGCUAGGUUUAGAGGUCAGCUCUUUGGAACCGAGUGCUUCUGAUUUUUUGACAUUCUUUGUUCUGAAUUUUGUGCAAUCUGUUUUCAAAGAUGCAUUCAACCAAUAUUUUAUCUCAAUGUUAUUACUGAGUAAAAUAAGCAAGUUUCUUCUUUUCUCUCCCUCACAAAGAGAGCGCUACCCACUUAGCUGUACUUCACACUAGCCUGAGCCUCCCACCUGCUACUCCCUCUGGUAAGCACAGUCACUCAGCAUGAAGUCAUGGAGAAAGGAAGAUUACUGCAGGUUGCCUUGGUGUAGGUUUGUCAGAAGUUGCUAACGCACUCUUUGAAAGAUGCGUUAUCAGUGAGUUUUAUGACAAAGUGCAACUGAGUUUGAAGGCCGUGGCACUGACCAAACAUAAAGGACCUUUGUUCAUUCUGGGAGGUGUGACCACUUGCUCAAUCCACUGGCACGGUGACUCCUCUGGGGAGAGAGCUUUUCAUUUGCAGGGUGAGCUCAGUAAGUCCUGCCCUUCGGUGCACAGGGACCUCUGGCUCUGUGUAAGAUUUCAAAUGCAUCUUGACUCUCAAGGGAGGAAAUUUUAAAUGAAAUUUCAGUUUUCUUCAUAAGCCCCACAAAGCACAUAGUGAGGAAAACCCAAUUUAUUUAAAUUAGGUUUAUCUUUAUAUAGAAAUGCACGAUCCUGAAAUAUAUUUGUACUUUAUUGAAUUUAUAUGUGGAUAAACUGAAGGUGGCUUUUGCCUUGGAAGUAUGUUUUGAGCUGUGUGUGUGUGUGUGUGUGUGUGUGUGUGUGUGUGUGUGUACAGUACAGGCAGGGAACAAAAGAAAGUGAGAUGAAGUCAGAGUUUAUCUUCUCUGGGAGCUUUCAUUUCCUCUAAAUCUAUUUUUUACUUGUGAGUAGAAAAAUCACGCUGCUUAAUAUAUAUAGCAGUUAGUUGGCCGGUAUCUGCAUGUUGCUCUCGGCAACCAGAUUUCACAAUGCCUCAAAUUCUAAUCAGGGAAGUCCUGGUUCCUUAGCCAGUGGGUAUGGGUGUCUCUGUUUGUGUAUGUGUGAGUGGUGUGCGCAUCUGUGUAUAAUUUGGGAUGACUCAGUGUCUAAGAAGGUACAGACAUUGUAACUAAGGUAUUCUUGGUUCUUAUAUUACCUUUCAGGAAUGAGUCCAGAAGAUCUGGCUAAAACCUUUGAAUCAUUUCCUGCCAACACGCAGCUGAAUACUAUACUGCAAGGCAGGAAAUGCUCCUUAAAGAUGACAUCAUGGGUCUUGGUUACGCUUAACGUACUUGAGUUUUCUGACUGCUACCUUGAGCAGUACCUGCCCAGCCUCAACCAGCACACACAUCAUGAGGGCAGGCCUCUGAAUCUCUCAUGCGGCAGGAGCUCCCUCGAGGCCAAUGAAGUGUACAACAUAUUUUAGGACCAGAGAGGAGGUAGAAACUUCUGGGCUGCAAAGAGAAAGCUCUGGGCUGGGGGUGGAGCUCAGUGGUAGACUGCUUGCUUAGCAUGCUGGAGGUGCUGGAUUCCACCCCUGUGCCACAAGAAUGAAAAUACAGAGAGAAAGCUUCACAGAGGUCAGGAAUGCUACAAUGGGUUUUAAAGGAUGAGUAGGAGCUCAAGGCAGAUUAGAGGGGAUAAAACAUUCUAGGUCACCCAUAGCAUGUGAAAAGGAAACUCUGAGGCUCAGCAGAAGAAUCUAGAUUUUCUCUCUAGGUGACUAUAAAAGAGGUAACUUAAUCUUGCAGCUAUUUGGGGCAAAAUGUACCGAGAGUAAGGCCCUCGGACCAGCCCAGCCUCUCAUCACUCAGACUUCGCUUCAGAAAAAAACUGCAGUGAAUAAAACUUCAGAAGCCCACAGUCUGCAGCAACACUGAGGGAAUUUUGAACUACGGAAAGUCCCGAAUCACAAUCAGAUUGGAACACUUCCAGUCGCCUUCAUGGUCCUCCUCUUACAGUAUUUAUCAGUGUAAUCUUGGGCCACCUCCCACUGAACCACGAAAGGAGCCCGAUUAAAUGCAGAUUCCUGGGUUCUCACUCAGACCUGCUGCUUGAGAAUGGAUCUGAGGGAAGGGCCCGGGGGUCUGUACUGAACUCCUCUACCUCUCUGAGUGACUCUGUGUUCAUUAAAAUUCUAAACCUACACUUCAGUGAUUCAGAACAAGGUUCCCCGGCCUCCUCAUUUUCUUGUGGAAUAGCUUUUGAGGACAAUAGCUUAAACCACAAGGAACAUCUAGUUUCAGGUUUACCCCCAUUUUACAGAUGAGAAAUUAGAACAGAAAAUGAGCAAGUGAGAAAGGAAAAAUAAUUGAAAGAGAAAAGAAGCAAAUUGCUUUACUUGCCAACUCAAUAAAACUGCUACAAGUAAACUCAAAAACAAAGCAAAACAAAACAAAAACAAUAUCAUGCAUAUCACUGCCUGAGAUAUCGCCUGGGGCCUUGGCCUCUGGCAGUGGCACCGUCCCUAUGCAAGGAAGAUGGCAGGAGUUUUCAAAGCAGUAACUGUUACCUGGGAGGUUAAAAUCACCUCUUGCAGCUAAAUCAUUUCUACUAGGAAAGAAAGAAAAAAA